RNAcentral lists this ribosomal RNA (578 nucleotides) under uncultured bacterium. RNAcentral's name for it is "partial 16S ribosomal RNA". It matches the Rfam family "Bacterial small subunit ribosomal RNA", at positions 355 to 932 of the family's 1533-position model. The record is from RNAcentral.
UGGGGAAUUUUGGACAAUGGGCGAAAGCCUGAUCCAGCAAUGCCGCGUGUGUGAAGAAGGCCUUCGGGUUGUAAAGCACUUUUGUCCGGAAAGAAAUCCUUGGCUCUAAUACAGUCGGGGGAUGACGGUACCGGAAGAAUAAGCACCGGCUAACUACGUGCCAGCAGCCGCGGUAAUACGUAGGGUGCAAGCGUUAAUCGGAAUUACUGGGCGUAAAGCGUGCGCAGGCGGUUUGCUAAGACCGAUGUGAAAUCCCCGGGCUCAACCUGGGAACUGCAUUGGUGACUGGCAGGCUAGAGUAUGGCAGAGGGGGGUAGAAUUCCACGUGUAGCAGUGAAAUGCGUAGAGAUGUGGAGGAAUACCGAUGGCGAAGGCAGCCCCCUGGGCCAAUACUGACGCUCAUGCACGAAAGCGUGGGGAGCAAACAGGAUUAGAUACCCUGGUAGUCCACGCCCUAAACGAUGUCAACUAGUUGUGGGGAUUCAUUUCCUUAGUAACGUAGCUAACGCGUGAAGUUGACCGCCUGGGGAGUACGGUCGCAAGAUUAAAACUUAAAGGAAUUGACGGGGUCAUAGCUG